UACGUAGGUGGCAAGCGUUGUCCGGAUUUAUUGGGUUUAAAGGGUGCGUAGGCGGUCUUUUAAGUCAGUGCUGAAAUACUCCAGCUUAACUGGAGGGGUGGCAUUGAUACUGAUGGACUUGAGUGAAGUCGAAGUAGGCGGAAUUGACGGUGUAGCGGUGAAAUGCUUAGAUAUCGUCAAGAACACCGAUAGUGAAGACAGCUUACUAGGCUUAUACUGACGCUGAGGCACGAAAGUGUGGGGAUCAAACAGG
Molecule: ribosomal RNA, 253 nt
Filed under: uncultured bacterium
Lineage: Bacteria
Description: partial 16S ribosomal RNA
Rfam family: Bacterial small subunit ribosomal RNA
Source: RNAcentral